UAACACGUAGGAGCCAAGCGUUAUCCGAAUUCACUGGGCGUAAAGCGCGUGUAGGCGGCUCGGUAAGUUGGAUGUGAAAGCUCCUGGCUCAACUGGGAGAGGACGUUCAAUACUGUCGGGCUAGAGGACGGCAGAGGGAGGUGGAAUUCCCGGUGUAGUGGUGAAAUGCGUAGAUAUCGGGAGGAACACCAGUGGCGAAGGCGGCCUUCUGGGCCGUACCUGACGCUCAGACGCGAAAGCUAGGGGAGCGAACGGGAUUAGAAACCCCGGUAGUCCUAGCCGUAAACGAUGUAGACUUGGUGUAGGUGGUGUAAAAACCAUCUGUGCCGAAGCCAACGCGAUAAGUCUACCGCCUGGGGACUACGGCCGCAAGGUUAAAACUCAAAGGAAUUGACGGGGGCCCGCAC
RNAcentral lists this ribosomal RNA (407 nucleotides) under uncultured Chloroflexota bacterium. RNAcentral describes it as "bacterial SSU rRNA". It matches the Rfam family "Bacterial small subunit ribosomal RNA", at positions 521 to 926 of the family's 1533-position model. Lineage: Bacteria; Bacillati; Chloroflexota. The record is from RNAcentral.